UGGGCAUAUUAUUUGAAGAAAGUUUUAAACCAGAAUCAAACUUGAACCUGAAAUUUAUAAAUUUAAUAGAAAACAACACAGAAAACAAAAGGGGGAGUUUACCUUCUUAGGCCGACACUCUCAAUUCUGGCCCAGCUAACCGGAGUGCUCAGCCAAUCCCCAUGCUCACCGCCUCGUGGGCCCGAGAUGUCAGCAUUAUCCCUUCCGCUGUAACAAAUUGCGCACAGAAAACAUCACGAUCUCCUCCUGUCGGCUACAUCGGACUCCACCAAGACUAUCGAUCCGGGUGUAUAAAUAUGGGGCCAUGUUCCCCCUUACCCUUCAUUCAUAGACCUGAGACAAACUAGGGGGUGCGAGCGCCGCUUUGUCACCAUAGGAGAGAAAAGAGAGCCACCGCAAUUGGGGAGCGCCUACACCAUCCUUGUGUCUCGAAAAAUCGACCAGUGGUGUUUGCGGGUGCGUGCAGGGUGUGUUCGUGGCGUUGCCGUGGUCAGUGUACAUCUGUGGCGACGGGAAUUUCACGCCGGAAGACAGGAAAUUGCCACCGAGCCACAUCCCUCGUCGCCAGGGCUCUGUGUGGCUCGAUAGCCGGUAAGAGAUCCUACCCUAGGUUCGCCUCACCCUCUACUACAUUUAGUGGUUGUCUGUUGCCAAAAUAAGGCAUUUGGCGCCUGGUGCACCCCGCUUCGCCGAAGCGCU
Molecule: long non-coding RNA, 699 nt
Filed under: Zea mays
Lineage: Eukaryota; Viridiplantae; Streptophyta; Magnoliopsida; Poales; Poaceae
Description: long non-coding RNA NONZMAT004542
Source: RNAcentral